GGAAUUCCAGUGCUUUUAGUUUUUUUAUUGUUGUUGUUAUCUCCCACAGUUCUCGCCAAGUCUCGUCGCCCAAUCUCUGAUAUUGAGACGAGGCAGAAGAAGAACCAAUGCCAUUGCUAUUGAGACGAGGAGAGCGGAUUGUGGGGUUGGCAAUGUAAGUCUUCUUUGAUAGCAAAAGAGAAUUGUGCUUUGCGAUGCCUUUCUUCAACUUGUUAUGAGCUUGUCUACGAGAGUGAUCCGCUUGAAGAAGGAGGGAAAGAUCUAGUUAGGGGCCAAGAGUUCAAGAGAAAGAUCUAGUUAGGGGCCAAGAGUUCAAGUACUGUAUGCACAAGUUAUCUUUGGGAGAGAGCCUUGAGGGUAUCAAGGGUUCAUUUAAUUAUUAAAUAUCUGAGCUAAAAAUGUUGCUUGUAAAGUAAGUUCGUAUGAAGCUGUCCAUUUCUCCAACUCUGGAAAAAGAAGAAAAAAACAGGAUUGAUAAAAGUCAGAGUUCAUUUUCCAAUUCUCCUCUUGCAUGUAGUGGAAUGCUUUGCAGGUUGAGCCGCAAACCAGGUUCAGGCUGUCCAGAAUAUCUGGCAUUAGGGUUCAUACUUUAUCCUUCAUCAAUGAUUGGGAGUUUACCGAAUGCGACAACUUGCAACUAUUUUCUUUAACGUCUGUAAUAGUUACAUUAAUAUGCUUGGACUUUAGUCAAUCUGAAUGAAACCGAGGUCAGCCUAGCAUCCGAAUUUCUCAUGUGCUAGCAUAUUAUCCUGAUAGAGAUGAAAGAGAAUGUGUUGCUACUGUUUCAAUAUUAACAUGGAGGUUUAGAGUUUUA
Prunus mume (Japanese apricot) is the source of this 814-nucleotide non-coding RNA. NCBI's taxonomy places the organism in Eukaryota, Viridiplantae, Streptophyta, Magnoliopsida, Rosales, Rosaceae. The record is from RefSeq and is a predicted model, not a curated record.